CUUCGGUAAAGAGCGGCGGACGGGUGAGUAACGCGUGGGUAACCUGCCCUGUACACACGGAUAACAUACCGAAAGGUAUGCUAAUACGAGAUAAAAUACUUUUAUCGCAUGGUAGAAGUAUCAAAGCUUUUGCGGUACAGGAUGGACCCGCGUCUGAUUAGCUAGUUGGUAAGGUAACGGCUUACCAAGGCGACGAUCAGUAGCCGACCUGAGAGGGUGAUCGGCCACAUUGGAACUGAGACACGGUCCAAACUCCUACGGAAGGCAGCAG
This 271-nucleotide ribosomal RNA is filed under the name uncultured bacterium. Its description in RNAcentral is "partial 16S ribosomal RNA". It matches the Rfam family "Bacterial small subunit ribosomal RNA", at positions 83 to 354 of the family's 1533-position model. The record is from RNAcentral.